CCGACUUACCAACCCGAUGCAAACUGCGAAUACCGGAGAAUGUUAUCACGGGAGACACACGGCGGGUGCUAACGUCCGUCGUGAAGAGGGAAACAACCCAGACCGCCAGCUAAGGUCCCAAAGUCAUGGUUAAGUGGGAAACGAUGUGGGAAGGCCCAGACAGCCAGGAUGUUGGCUUAGAAGCAGCCAUCAUUUAAAGAAAGCGUAAUAGCUCACUGGUCGAGUCGGCCUGCGCGGAAGAUGUAACGGGGCUAAACCAUGCACCGAAGCUGCGGCAGCGACGCUUAUGCGUUGUUGGGUAGGGGAGCGUUCUGUAAGCCUGCGAAGGUGUGCUGUGAGGCAUGCUGGAGGUAUCAGAAGUGCGAAUGCUGACAUAAGUAACGAUAAAGCGGGUGAAAAGCCCGCUCGCCGGAAGACCAAGGGUUCCUGUCCAACGUUAAUCGGGGCAGGGUGAGUCGACCCCUAAGGCGAGGCCGAAAGGCGUAGUCGAUGGGAAACAGGUUAAUAUUCCUGUACUUGGUGUUACUGCGAAGGGGGGACGGAGAAGGCUAUGUUGGCCGGGCGACGGUUGUCCCGGUUUAAGCGUGUAGGCUGGUUUUCCAGGCAAAUCCGGAAAAUCAAGGCUGAGGCGUGAUGACGAGGCACUACGGUGCUGAAGCAACAAAUGCCCUGCUUCCAGGAAAAGCCUCUAAGCAUCAGGUAACAUCAAAUCGUACCCCAAACCGACACAGGUGGUCAGGUAGAGAAUACCAAGGCGCUUGAGAGAACUCGGGUGAAGGAACUAGGCAAAAUGGUGCCGUAACUUCGGGAGAAGGCACGCUGAUAUGUAGGUGAAGUCCCUUGCGGAUGGAGCUGAAAUCAGUCGAAGAUACCAGCUGGCUGCAACUGUUUAUUAAAAACACAGCACUGUGCAAACACGAAAGUGGACGUAUACGGUGUGACGCCUGCCCGGUGCCGGAAGGUUAAUUGAUGGGGUCAGCGCAAGCGAAGCUCUUGAUCGAAGCCCCGGUAAACGGCGGCCGUAACUAUAACGGUCCUAAGGUAGCGAAAUUCCUUGUCGGGUAAGUUCCGACCUGCACGAAUGGCGUAAUGAUGGCCAGGCUGUCUCCACCCGAGACUCAGUGAAAUUGAACUCGCUGUGAAGAUGCAGUGUACCCGCGGCAAGACGGAAAGACCCCGUGAACCUUUACUAUAGCUUGACACUGAACAUUGAGCCUUGAUGUGUAGGAUAGGUGGGAGGCUUUGAAGUGUGGACGCCAGUCUGCAUGGAGCCGGCCUUGAAAUACCACCCUUUAAUGUUUGAUGUUCUAACGUGGACCCGUGAUCCGGGUUGCGGACAGUGUCUGGUGGGUAGUUUGACUGGGGCGGUCUCCUCCUAAAGAGUAACGGAGGAGCACGAAGGUUGGCUAAUCCUGGUCGGACAUCAGGAGGUUAGUGCAAUGGCAUAAGCCAGCUUGACUGCGAGCGUGACGGCGCGAGCAGGUGCGAAAGCAGGUCAUAGUGAUCCGGUGGUUCUGAAUGGAAGGGCCAUCGCUCAACGGAUAAAAGGUACUCCGGGGAUAACAGGCUGAUACCGCCCAAGAGUUCAUAUCGACGGCGGUGUUUGGCACCUCGAUGUCGGCUCAUCACAUCCUGGGGCUGAAGUAGGUCCCAAGGGUAUGGCUGUUCGCCAUUUAAAGUGGUACGCGAGCUGGGUUUAGAACGUCGUGAGACAGUUCGGUCCCUAUCUGCCGUGGGCGCUGGAGAACUGAGGGGGGCUGCUCCUAGUACGAGAGGACCGGAGUGGACGCAUCACUGGUGUUCGGGUUGUCAUGCCAAUGGCACUGCCCGGUAGCUAAAUGCGGAAGAGAUAAGUGCUGAAAGCAUCUAAGCACGAAACUUGCCCCGAGAUGAGUUCUCCCUGACCCUUUAAGGGUCCUGAAGGAACGUUGAAGACGACGACGUUGAUAGGCCGGGUGUGUAAGCGCAGCGAUGCGUUGAGCUAACCGGUACUAAUGAACCGUGAGGCUUAACCUUACAACGCCGAAG
Molecule: ribosomal RNA, 2028 nt
Filed under: Shigella sonnei
Lineage: Bacteria; Pseudomonadati; Pseudomonadota; Gammaproteobacteria; Enterobacterales; Enterobacteriaceae
Description: partial 23S ribosomal RNA
Rfam family: Bacterial large subunit ribosomal RNA
Source: RNAcentral